GGGUUGUGAGGUUAAGCGACUAAGCGUACACGGUGGAUGCCCUGGCAGUCAGAGGCGAUGAAGGACGUGCUAAUCUGCGAUAAGCGUCGGUAAGGUGAUAUGAACCGUUAUAACCGGCGAUUUCCGAAUGGGGAAACCCAGUGUGAUUCGUCACACUAUCAUUAACUGAAUCCAUAGGUUAAUGAGGCGAACCGGGGGAACUGAAACAUCUAAGUACCCCGAGGAAAAGAAAUCAACCGAGAUUCCCCCAGUAGCGGCGAGCGAACGGGGAGCAGCCCAGAGCCUGAAUCAGUGUGUGUGUUAGUGGAAGCGUCUGGAAAGGCGCGCGAUACAGGGUGACAGCCCCGUACACAAAAAUGCACAUACUGUGAGCUCGAUGAGUAGGGCGGGACACGUGGUAUCCUGUCUGAAUAUGGGGGGACCAUCCUCCAAGGCUAAAUACUCCUGACUGACCGAUAGUGAACCAGUACCGUGAGGGAAAGGCGAAAAGAACCCCGGCGAGGGGAGUGAAAAAGAACCUGAAACCGUGUACGUACAAGCAGUGGGAGCACAGAGCAAUCUGUGUGACUGCGUACCUUUUGUAUAAUGGGUCAGCGACUUAUAUUCUGUAGCAAGGUUAACCGAAUAGGGGAGCCGAAGGGAAACCGAGUCUUAACUGGGCGUUAAGUUGCAGGGUAUAGACCCGAAACCCGGUGAUCUAGCCAUGGGCAGGUUGAAGGUUGGGUAACACUAACUGGAGGACCGAACCGACUAAUGUUGAAAAAUUAGCGGAUGACUUGUGGCUGGGGGUGAAAGGCCAAUCAAACCGGGAGAUAGCUGGUUCUCCCCGAAAGCUAUUUAGGUAGCGCCUCGUGAAUUCAUCUCCGGGGGUAGAGCACUGUUUCGGCAAGGGGGUCAUCCCGACUUACCAACCCGAUGCAAACUGCGAAUACCGGAGAAUGUUAUCACGGGAGACACACGGCGGGUGCUAACGUCCGUCGUGAAGAGGGAAACAACCCAGACCGCCAGCUAAGGUCCCAAAGUCAUGGUUAAGUGGGAAACGAUGUGGGAAGGCCCAGACAGCCAGGAUGUUGGCUUAGAAGCAGCCAUCAUUUAAAGAAAGCGUAAUAGCUCACUGGUCGAGUCGGCCUGCGCGGAAGAUGUAACGGGGCUAAACCAUGCACCGAAGCUGCGGCAGCGACGCUUAUGCGUUGUUGGGUAGGGGAGCGUUCUGUAAGCCUGUGAAGGUGUACUGUGAGGUAUGCUGGAGGUAUCAGAAGUGCGAAUGCUGACAUAAGUAACGAUAAAGCGGGUGAAAAGCCCGCUCGCCGGAAGACCAAGGGUUCCUGUCCAACGUUAAUCGGGGCAGGGUGAGUCGACCCCUAAGGCGAGGCCGAAAGGCGUAGUCGAUGGGAAACAGGUUAAUAUUCCUGUACUUGGUGUUACUGCGAAGGGGGGACGGAGAAGGCUAUGUUGGCCGGGCGACGGUUGUCCCGGUUUAAGCGUGUAGGCUGGUUUUCCAGGCAAAUCCGGAAAAUCAAGGCUGAGGCGUGAUGACGAGGCACUACGGUGCUGAAGCAACAAAUGCCCUGCUUCCAGGAAAAGCCUCUAAGCAUCAGGUAACAUCAAAUCGUACCCCAAACCGACACAGGUGGUCAGGUAGAGAAUACCAAGGCGCUUGAGAGAACUCGGGUGAAGGAACUAGGCAAAAUGGUGCCGUAACUUCGGGAGAAGGCACGCUGAUAUGUAGGUGAAGUCCCUCGCGGAUGGAGCUGAAAUCAGUCGAAGAUACCAGCUGGCUGCAACUGUUUAUUAAAAACACAGCACUGUGCAAACACGAAAGUGGACGUAUACGGUGUGACGCCUGCCCGGUGCCGGAAGGUUAAUUGAUGGGGUUAGCGCAAGCGAAGCUCUUGAUCGAAGCCCCGGUAAACGGCGGCCGUAACUAUAACGGUCCUAAGGUAGCGAAAUUCCUUGUCGGGUAAGUUCCGACCUGCACGAAUGGCGUAAUGAUGGCCAGGCUGUCUCCACCCGAGACUCAGUGAAAUUGAACUCGCUGUGAAGAUGCAGUGUACCCGCGGCAAGACGGAAAGACCCCGUGAACCUUUACUAUAGCUUGACACUGAACAUUGAGCCUUGAUGUGUAGGAUAGGUGGGAGGCUUUGAAGUGUGGACGCCAGUCUGCAUGGAGCCGACCUUGAAAUACCACCCUUUAAUGUUUGAUGUUCUAACGUUGACCCGUAAUCCGGGUUGCGGACAGUGUCUGGUGGGUAGUUUGACUGGGGCGGUCUCCUCCUAAAGAGUAACGGAGGAGCACGAAGGUUGGCUAAUCCUGGUCGGACAUCAGGAGGUUAGUGCAAUGGCAUAAGCCAGCUUGACUGCGAGCGUGACGGCGCGAGCAGGUGCGAAAGCAGGUCAUAGUGAUCCGGUGGUUCUGAAUGGAAGGGCCAUCGCUCAACGGAUAAAAGGUACUCCGGGGAUAACAGGCUGAUACCGCCCAAGAGUUCAUAUCGACGGCGGUGUUUGGCACCUCGAUGUCGGCUCAUCACAUCCUGGGGCUGAAGUAGGUCCCAAGGGUAUGGCUGUUCGCCAUUUAAAGUGGUACGCGAGCUGGGUUUAGAACGUCGUGAGACAGUUCGGUCCCUAUCUGCCGUGGGCGCUGGAGAAUUGAGGGGGGCUGCUCCUAGUACGAGAGGACCGGAGUGGACGCAUCACUGGUGUUCGGGUUGUCAUGCCAAUGGCACUGCCCGGUAGCUAAAUGCGGAAGAGAUAAGUGCUGAAAGCAUCUAAGCACGAAACUUGCCCCGAGAUGAGUUCUCCCUGACUCCUUGAGAGUCCUGAAGGAACGUUGAAGACGACGACGUUGAUAGGCCGGGUGUGUAAGCGCAGCGAUGCGUUGAGCUAACCGGUACUAAUGAACCGUGAGGCUUAACCUUACAACGCCGAAG
This 2927-nucleotide ribosomal RNA is filed under the name Escherichia coli. Its description in RNAcentral is "bacterial LSU rRNA". It matches the Rfam family "Bacterial large subunit ribosomal RNA". Lineage: Bacteria; Pseudomonadati; Pseudomonadota; Gammaproteobacteria; Enterobacterales; Enterobacteriaceae. The record is from RNAcentral.